Loxodonta africana (African savanna elephant) is the source of this 7272-nucleotide long non-coding RNA. RefSeq lists it as uncharacterized. The record is from RefSeq and is a predicted model, not a curated record. NCBI's taxonomy places the organism in Eukaryota, Metazoa, Chordata, Mammalia, Proboscidea, Elephantidae. The transcript has 4 exons.
GGACGCCGGGCGCCCUUUCACUUCCGGGUUCCCGGGUGGGCGGGUCUUCCCGGGGCAGAAGCUCUGGCGGUCUUCUUCCGCUGGGGUCUGGGGCUUUACCUCGGCCUGCCGCUGGCUUUCUGUUCUUGGGCGAGUCUGGCCUCUGCUGGGAGCACUUCCUUUCACGGAUGUUCAGGGUUUCCAGCAGAACUUGCUCUCAGUUGUUCCCUCUACGCCCCCCAUCCCUUGCUGGUUGAGUAAAAACUGCUGAAGCCAGCCAUAACGUCUUUAGGGGUCAUGAGACGUCGCCCUUAAGAGACAAUCGCUUUCUAAUUAAGUUCCUUUAAGAACAGCUACUUUCUAUCAUAAUAUGUUUUGCUUAGCUUUGGUUUAUCGAAUCCUCAUCCUACCAGCCCUGUAACUGGAAGGAAGCCUUAAGAAUGGCAUCCAGGACAAUUGCAUUAAAUAAGUUCUCAGGAGAAUGUAUAGGCACCGUUUUUGGUCCAGUUCCCUUCUCCCCCUGAACUGGAUCGUGGACAAGCACGAGCUUUAGCCUAACCUUUCAACCUUUCUCAAGACCCGGUUUCUUUGAGCCAGCUUUCACAGUGCUGUAUUAAAAAUCAUGUUUUCUUUGCCUGGCUUCCUUUCCCACAGUGUUGUAUUGAAAACUCUCGUUUCCUUUGCUGGGCUUCACCUCCUCCCCCUUUCCUCCUACCACCCAGUGUCCCCCAGCCCAGCUUUGCAUUUGAAUCCUGCUUUUGCUCGGAGGUUAAAUGUAAACCCCAUUGGGCCUUUGUAAUAUGAUUAAGAAUGUUGCUGAUGUAAUUUGUAUGAACUCCCUACUUGUAAAAACGACCUUUAAAAGUAACUGCCUGUCUGCAAUUGGUGGGCAGUCCUGGUAGCAGCAGCUCGGACUGUCUCUUUUUCCUUGUACAAUGAAAUGUAGGUUCCUUUCCUGUUCUGCCACCUUGGUCUCUUGUUUAUUGGCCAAUAAGAGUCAUGCUGAGCAAGAACCUGGGUUUUCCACCCAGCAACAGUUCUGCCAAGCCAGUCAGGAGCCAUCUGCUUAGUUCCUGAAGUGGAUCAGAAAACAGACUGACCCCAAUGUCUGGCUCAACCAGAUUUCUCCUGGAGACCUUGGAGCAGCUCUGAAAAGCAAUUCCCCCUGGGACCCAAUCUUUGGCUUUGUGAGAGACAUGAAAUGUGCCUGGGUUAUUUGGGAUUCUAAAACCAUGAAUCCAGUCAACCUCGAGGAGACCUGGACUGUGGAGCAGAAGCCGGCAAAAAGAGAGACCCUAUCUUCUGGACCCAAGCAUUUGCACUCCAUGUCCCUUUAACAGUGGUGGGGUUGUUUCCCGUUUCUGGAUGUUACAAGAAAGCUGCUGUGAACUAUGUGUACAAGUACAACACCAAAAGUAUGGUCUAUAAAAGAAGAAACUGAUAAACUGGACUUCAGAAAAAUUAAAAAUGUCAGCUCUUCAAAAGACACUGCUAAGAGAACAAAAAGACAAACCACAGACUGGGAGAAAAUCUUUGCAAAAUAUAUAUCUGAUAAAGGAUUUGUAUCCAGAAUAUACAAAGAACUCUCAAAAAUGAGAAAACAAACAUUCUGUUUAAAAAUGGACAACGUAUUUUAACAAAACCUCACCAAAGAAGAUUUACAGAUGACAAAUAAGCACAUGAAAAGAUGCUCGAUGUUAUUAGUCAUUCAGGCCAGCAUUUAUUCUCUCUCAGAGCAUGGCACUGCCGAGACUGUGGGAAAUGAAAGAGGAAUAAGAUUUGUGUUCACUGCUCGCAUUGCACAUGUUGAGCGCCCAUUAUCUGCCUCUCACUGCUCAUUUUAUCUGUGGAGAUUCUGAUUUAGGAUGGAAUACAGACACAUGAAUGUACAUCUUCACUUCUCCCUCUAGUUUAAACCUAUUAAUGUGAUAGAAAUGAAUUAAAAUCCCCAACAAGAAGAGAAUGGGCAGAGGACAACAGUGGACAAGGGAUUUCCACACAUUUCUGGAAGAUGGAAAGUGGAUAUAAUCAUCUCUUGUAAUGGAACAGCAGACAGAGGCAGCUACAGAGGAAUAUGCCAGACAGCAGGGAUAGAGGAGGCACCCAGCCCAACUGCCAGAGCCCAGAGGGGCCCCAGGCUUGGAACCUGGAGCAGUAAUGCGGGGCAGGGAUGAGAAGUGUGACAGAAAACAGGGAGAUUAAAGGUUUGUAAUGGAACAGAUUUCAUUUUACUUGGAUCCACAAUCAACGCCCAUGGAAGCAGCAGUCAAGAAGUCAAACGACAUUGCAUUGGGAAAAUCUGCUGCAAAAGACCUCUUUUAAGUGUUAAAAAGGAAAGAUGUCACUUUAAGGACUAAGUUGCGCCUGACCCAUGCCAUGGUGUUUUCAAGCACCUCAUAUGCAUGCAAAAGCUGAGCAAUGAAUAAGGAAGACAGAAGAAUUGAUGCCUUUGAAUUAUGGUGUUGGUGAAGAACAUGGAAUGAACCGCCAAAAGAACAAACAAGUCUGUCUUAGAAGAAGUACAACCAGAGUGCUGCUUAGAGGCAAGGAUGGUGAGACUGCAUCUCAUAUACUCUGGACAUGUGAGGAGAGAUCAGUCCCUGGAGAAGGACAUUAUGAUUGGUAAAGUACAGGGACAGUGCAAAAGAGGAAGACCCUCAACAAGAUGUACUGACACAGUGGCUGCAACAGUGGGCUCAAGCAUGACAAUGAUCAUGAGGAUGGUGCAGGACUGGCCAGUGUUUUGUUCUACUGCAGUAGUUGGCUCUGAGCUCUGCUAGGGAAACCACAUGUCCCGGCAGGCAGGGGCCACAACCAGCCACGCUCUUACCUCAGCGCCCCUGAAACACUGCUUUGAAGUCCCUAGAUAGCAUCCUCUCUUGUUCCCCUUGGGGGCUCUUCUCUCCUAAGCCCUAACCAAGUCCAAGCCCAAAUUCAGCUGAUGGUGCUGUUCUGAGUUUACAAAGAAGUUAGAGGUUAUCAGGCUUGAUUUCCCCAUCAUCUUGUCCCUCCACUCAAACACUUACCUGCAUCUGUCCCCAUUCUUACCUCCCUCCUCUUGUCAAAGGUUAAUCCACCAACCUGUGCUCUGGCCCUCUCCUUUCCCUCAGGAACCUCCAUCAGCCAUGGUGCUGUCUCUAAAGACUUUCAUGGGCUCUGGAUGGGCUGCGUAGGUCACUUCAAGAGAGGACUUAUCCCAGCUGCUGGCAGCACUGUUAGCAGAAAGACUGCUGUUACGUCCUGCAGAGUCUGCACCAGCUGCAGAGAGAGCAGCUUUACCCAAGGCCUUUCACUUCCCAGGGCAGCCCAUAUUUAAUGCCAGAUGGAGGCAGGAGCAUACAGGCCAGGCCAUUCAGACCAGUGCAGGACAGUGCUGCCAGGUCCCCUUAGCUCCAGUGUGCCCAGGGGCCUGUGGAGCCUGUGGGGUUCGCAUUGCCACUUCAUUUCUCCCUCCCUUUGCCCAGUCGUUCUUCCCCCACCACCACCUCAGGGUUGAUCCCAAGUACACUCUCUAAUAAACAUCCUACACACUGAAUUCCCAGUCAGAGUUUGCUUCCUAAAGGCCCAGUCUGUGACAGGUGAUGUCAGAAGUAGUUCCAGAAAGCAGGCAAUAGUGAAGGGUCUUGGAGCUGAAUCACUCCCUGUGAGGCUGGCAUUGAGGGCCCCGUCACUGGUGGGAGCCUCCUGAGUCAGGGAGCGGUCUUACUGUGAAAACUUGCACCAGUGGUGAAUGGUGGGGGGCAGUCUAGUAAAGAGAACCCCCCUGCUGGUGAUCUCCGUGCACUUAAAAAGUAUGCGGAGAUAGCAACUAUGAGGACAGGAGAGCAGAUGGCUAUUGUUAGACAAUUGAUUCUCUAGUGGUUCUCCAAGUAUGGUCCUGAAAACUUGUUAGAGAUGCACAUUCCAGGGCCCCACCCUAGACCUACUGAAUCAGAAACUCUGGAAAUGGGACUCAACAAUCUGUGUUUUAAAAAGCCCCCCCAGGGAAUUCUAACGUGGAUUCAAGCUUGGGAGCCACUUCUCUAGACAAGGCUGAGAGUGUUUAACAGGCCAGUAAAAGCCAAGUGCAAAAGCCAGAGGGCAUCCUUGAGUGUACAAGGCUUACCUGCUGCAGCUCAAGGGCUGAGAAAGCCUAGGAACAAAUAGAAGCCUUAAUCACUACAGUGGCUCAGCCCAGAGAAGGUUAAACCCAACCAGAGCAGGUCUGCAUACCAAGGUCUAGACCCUGAUUGUGAAAGAAUGGGACCCUGACACAUGGUAUAGUGUUAACUAGAUGAAUGUCUCUGAAAAUCUUGAGUUUCCAGACUCCUCUGAACCCUUCUAGCCUGCAGCAGUGCACCUCUCCUCACCCCCAUAUCAAGAUCUUGUGCUCCCUUCAUUGUUUGAAGAUGGUGCAUUGAAGACAGACCUUUCUUGCUGCAAGACAACACAGGCCCUUUUUAGAGUCUGUCCCCAUCACCCCUCUCGGACCAUAACCAGGGUUGAGUAGCAACAUAACCAACAUACUAGGCCUGAAAAGGGAAGAAAGGGCCUAUACUCACAAAGGAGCUACAAGUCUUAGCUAGCAUGUACCAGGAGCCUAGCCGGAGCCAGGGGAAUAAGUUGGUGAACGCGGUGGUAGCUCUCCCUGUAAACUAGAACUGAGAGGAGGAGAGGCCAUUACAGAACUAAGUUACUGAUAGCAACAGGGGUGAUACAUCCCCCAAAACCAUAAGGGCCAAGCAGUGAUGAACCAUGAGCAGCUGGUAGGUACAAUAUUGCAAGGUCAGACUGGUAACCAAGGGGGCUCAACUGCAGAGACUUGGGGAGAUAGUUAAUAGAACAUGGAACUCCUAGAGGCAAAAUCAAUUGGCAGCCAGCAAGGGUACUAUUCAACUUAUAUGGUCAGAAGAAAUCAAGGAAAGGUGAUUAGGAGGCUAAGGUCAGUCACCCCAAUAAAAUAUUAUGAUCCUAUGCUCAGUUUCUGGACCUGAAACCCACUAAUUAGAGGUGCCACUGCCACACCAUGGCAAGUGUACCCAGUAAUGUUUGCUCCAGCCCCUCUCCAAAGGAACCAAUGGUCACUUAGGUAACAGUACACUAGGCAAGAGGCAUACCAAAACAAUCCAAGGACUGCUGGAGACUGUUAGGCUGGGUUUUCUAGAGAAGCAAAACCAGUAUAGCAGAUAAAUAGAGAGAGAGAGAGAUUUAUAUUAAGGAAAUGACUCACAUGUUUGUAGAGACUGGUGCAUACCAAGUCCAUGGGCCAAGCUGCAGGCUUCUUCUGGUUUAUAUAGCCACAGGGGCUGGUGAACCCAAGAUCAGCCAGUCAGACAGCAGGGCUCUGGCUCACAAGCUGCAAAGACCAGUGAAUCCCAAGAUCGGCAGGCAAGACAAUCUCCUUUAAGAUAUAAAAAAGAGAAGCAAGCAUAGAAACAUGGGGACCUCAUACCACUAACAAAUAAGAGCCAGGAAAAUAGCAUAUCCUUUAGACCUGGGGUCUCUGCCCUGAGAAGCUCCUCAACUGGAGAAGAUUGUUGACAAGGACCUUCCACCAGAGCCAACAGAGAGAGAAGCCUUUCCCCUUGAGCUGGCACCCUGAGUUCAGACUUCUAGCCUACUAGACUGGGAGAAUAAACUUCUGUUUGUUGAAGCCAUCCACUUGUGGUAUUUCUGCUAUAGCAGUACUAGAUAACUAAGACAGAAUUUGGUAAACUGCUAGCUCAAAUCCCAAGAAACGGAUGUCAGAAGAACAGGAGCCAGCUGCAGGAUCCAGAGUCUGCAAAAGCCCAGGAGCCUUGCGAGAAAGUCCACUUGUAUUGGAUGCAGGCCACACCCCCCAGGAAACUCCCUUUACACUGAUUGGAUACUCACAGCAGAUCCCAUCAUGGAGGCAAUCACAUUAUAUCAGAUCUCAUCCUGGAGGUCAUUUCAAUAUUAUAUGACCGCCAAACUAAGUCAUAACUGCCAAACCACUGAGAAUCAUGGCCCAGCCAAGCUGACACACGAUGCUAACCAUCACAGGGGGCCAGGGCCAGAGCUGAAAUAGAGAUCUGGAGACCUGAAGCCUCUUCAUAGUCUUCCUGUGUGAGUGUGGCAUACAGGAACCAGGUAGUAAAUGGAAUCCUGGGCCAGGGUCCCACCACUGUGGGCCCACUGGAUCUGCAGGCCCAUCUGGGGUCAUUUCCCUGGUCCCUGAGUGUUCAACUGGGAUAGACAUACUUGGACAUUGGUGUAACCCAUACAUUAGGCCCUCACAGUGGCGUCACUAAGGAGGUGCGGGUGCGAGGGGGUGCAAACUGCAGAGGAUGACACCAUCAGAGCGGGUAAACACUUCCAGCAGCGCCAAGUGUGACGCCAGGCCAGCCUCCGUGCAUGGAACUGCCACCAUCUUGGGAGCACUGCAGAGUUUUCAGACCUUCAGGGUCCAGACUGUCACCAGGAGGAGGGGAAAGCCAGGAGGCAGGGAGGGGUCUGUGCAUGCGCUCAGGGAAGUGGUGCGUGGGAAGCAAUGGGGGGCUCGGCCUGCCCCUCCUUCCCCCAUCCUUCUACCAGGUGUGUGGGGGGGGCGGGUGAUAGAUUUCGUCUAGCAUGGCUACAAGCAUGCGCUGUUGCUGUUUUCGUUGCUGGUGGGGGGGUGGGUGACACCAGCCCUGGGUGUCUCCAACACCAGUGACACCACGGGGUGCUUGGCCUGUGGGGAGGAUGAUGGAAAUUACUGCCACCCUUAAGGAAGACUACAUGAGUCAGGAAACCACGGGGUGGGGGCAGGAGUGAUUCCACCUACUGUCACUCCCAAGGAACCCACAAAUCUGGACUGCAGGAUGAGAGGUCCUGUUUCCCAAAGGGAGAACACUUCCACUAGGGGACACAGCAAUUGCCCACUAAGCAAUCGAUGGUUGUCUCCUGGGCACUUUGGGUCCUUGUGUCACCAUCCUGCAGAGGUGAUUUACUGUGAUCAUUGGAAAGCGAUAGGGCCGUUGUCACCUUAGAGGGUCAAGGAGGGAAACGCUUGGCACCCAGGUGAUGUACUUGGGUGCCAUUUGUUCCUGCCUUGCCCAAACAUGAGUCAAUGGGCAAAGCAGCACCUCCAGCCUGAAAAGGACAUGGGAACCAGACCCCUUCCUGAAAGAAUUAUUGCCCAGUUGGUGGGAGUGCUGUCAGCUUGCAGCCUUCAGGUGUCAGCCCUCUUAGGGAUUACUUCAGCUACAGAGAACUGCCUUGCCCAGGGCCCUUCCUGGGGUGGCUCUUUGAUGGAGGCAAAGGAAUAAAGGCCUGACCAUUUCAGCCCAGUAUAGUCAACUUGGACAGCCA